UGCCAGACUGAUGACUUGCCAAGAGCAUAAUCACUACCACCACCUCAAUGCAUUUGAUUGGUAUAUCUUAAAGCAAUUGACAAUGGAGGAGUUUAAGAAACGUACAUGAUGCGUAGCUGAGCAGCAGGAUCCAGAGGGGUAAUUACACUUGUCCCAUUGGUUCCUUGGAAAAUACUGGGCCUUUGCUGCAGCAUGUUCUCUUGGGUUCUAACAGAAGGAGAAGACCACAGUACUGAAAGGAAAAACAAAACACAUUUACCAGGAUCCAGAGCCCUGUGAAAUUGCAUGGCUGAAUCUAAAUGAGGGGGGAGAUGGCUCCUGUAGACUUCUGGAGUAGAUCCUCUAUGAUGGGAGU
This is a non-coding RNA of Caretta caretta (loggerhead turtle), 355 nucleotides long. The record is from RefSeq and is a predicted model, not a curated record. Lineage: Eukaryota; Metazoa; Chordata; Testudines; Cheloniidae.